This is a long non-coding RNA of Dromaius novaehollandiae (emu), 931 nucleotides long. RefSeq lists it as uncharacterized. The transcript is spliced from 3 exons. Lineage: Eukaryota; Metazoa; Chordata; Aves; Casuariiformes; Dromaiidae. The record is from RefSeq and is a predicted model, not a curated record.
GGCUGGGGUCAGCAGACUCCGGACGUACUUCCAUCUGUCAUCACGAAGACAAAGGAUGCUGUCGAGCAUGGGCUUCGAAAUCAGAUAACUCAAAGGCAUUGUGCAGUUGGAAGAAAGAGACUCUGGAUUAAACAUAAAUCACUCUUGAAGAAAGUACUCCAUCCUAAUCCCUGCUCCACUGUUCUUGUGUGACGCUAGGGAAGCCCUUUUCACUAAACCUUGGCUCAGCUGGUCACCAAAUCAUGAGAUGUUCUCAGAGCUGAAACAAGACUUCACUCCUUACCCACAAAUCCUGGCUGUUCACGCCAGGGCAAAGGCCUGGCAAUGCCCACUGAGCACCGUGGCCAACAGUGAGGGAGAACAGUGGGUCCCUCACAUCCAUCACCUGCCUCCCACCUGUGUAACAGCAGAGGCAAUUGCUGGUUACAACUGUAAACGCAGGUGUAGUCUCUCCCAAACUAGGCUCACUCUUUCAUUUACCAUUUCCAAAACUCCACAUCCAAAUUCUCAGAAGCCAGACACACCACCUCUCCCAAGUUUGAGAGGGUAACUGAAAUCAGUCCCUGCUGUCUGUUAAAACUGAGCAUUUUUCUUCACACGCAUUUUCCAUCAUUAAGCCUACUGACAGUCUAUUACAUUUUCUUUUUCCCUAAAAAAGCCCAUUUGAAUAAAGUUUGAUUUUAGAAUCUGCGACAUAGGAGGUCUCCUUAUGGUUAAGGAGGGAAAAAUUUCACUGAACUUAACUCCAAAAGCUUGUGUGGCUUGGCAAUUUCAUAGAAGUGUCCAGUAAAACUUGUAGCUUAAGUUAAAACCACCAUGCUUUGGUAGAAGAGGAGAACUCUCCAUGCGUUCUCUCUUUUACUAAGCUUUUAGGUUCUUCCUGGUUAUUAAGCGACCUCGGAAAGCGUUACAAGGGGGAAUUGGUUGCAGU